GGGUAGAUGGCGAAAUUGGUAUACGCAUCACAUUCAAAAUGUGACAACUUGCAGUUAUGAGGGUUCAAGUCCCUCUCUACCUAUAU
Molecule: transfer RNA, 86 nt
Filed under: Gracilaria tenuistipitata var. liui
Lineage: Eukaryota; Rhodophyta; Florideophyceae; Gracilariales; Gracilariaceae
Description: tRNA-Leu
Rfam family: tRNA
About the family: Transfer RNA (tRNA) molecules are approximately 80 nucleotides in length. Their secondary structure includes four short double-helical elements and three loops (D, anti-codon, and T loops). Further hydrogen bonds mediate the characteristic L-shaped molecular structure. tRNAs have two regions of fundamental functional importance: the anti-codon, which is responsible for specific mRNA codon recognition, and the 3' end, to which the tRNAs corresponding amino acid is attached (by aminoacyl-tRNA synthetases). tRNAs cope with the degeneracy of the genetic code in two manners: having more than one tRNA (with a specific anti-codon) for a particular amino acid; and 'wobble' base-pairing, i.e. permitting non-standard base-pairing at the 3rd anti-codon position.
Source: RNAcentral